UACGGAGGGUGCGAGCGUUGUCCGGAAUCAUUGGGCGUAAAGGGCGCGUAGGUGGCCCGGUCAGUUCGUGGUGAAAGCGCGGGGCUCAACCCUGCGUCGGCCAUGAAUACUGCCGCGGCUGGAGCACUGUAGAGGCAGGCGGAAUUCCGGGUGUAGCGGUGGAAUGCGUAGAGAUCCGGAAGAACACCGGUGGCGAAGGCGGCCUGCUGGGCAGUUGCUGACACCGAGGCGCGACAGCGUGGGGAGCAAACAGG
Molecule: ribosomal RNA, 254 nt
Filed under: uncultured bacterium
Lineage: Bacteria
Description: partial 16S ribosomal RNA
Rfam family: Bacterial small subunit ribosomal RNA
Source: RNAcentral